GUGAUUUAACUGGCUGAUAUAAAUGAAUCAGAGAACACAAAUGUAUAAAGGAAUACAUUUAAUGGAUAAGUAAAUGAAUGAGAGCACGAGUGACAGCCGCAACAUCUAUCAUAUUUUCAUGACUUCACAAGCUAAUCUGCUAUAUUAGCGCUGCACUGCAACCGAACUUGCUACUUAACAGAGAAACUUGAUUUUUCUGACAAUGCCCCCUAGACGAAAUACCGGCUGCCGAUAAUUCGCCUGAAUGGAAACGUAGAGUGAGUCUGAGAUCUGAGGAUGUCCUAAUAUGAACACCGUACCCGUGUGCAGGAGUGAGUGUCUUGUUAGGUCAAAACAGAAUGGCCCGUGUGCACAGACGGAGGCCUAAUUACCAGGCAGAGAGGCCUGUGUGUAGGGAUGAAGGUCAGGCCAAACAGAGAGGCCUAAUUUUUGAAAACAAGAUCACACAUUGUCCACAGGUGCAGGCUUACAGAGACAGCCAAAUAUUAAUUAAAAGGUUUAUGCAUAAGGGGAUGCGGAAUUCAAGGGGAUGCGGAGAGCAGGUAAAAGUUCCCAAGUAGCCAUGGUAUCAUAACCGGGAGGGGUACGGAUAAGGACACAGCUGCUCGGCAUCUUGAAAGAUGGUUUGGCAAUUGAGAAGAAUAUUCUGGUUGGUUCAAUUUGGAUACGUUUUAGGCUUUUGAUUGGAAAAGCAUAGUGACGGAAUUUGCCCUUUAAAUAGUUAGUGCGCUGGGUUUUUGACAGAGCUGCUCCAUGGAACACCACUCUCGAUUUGAAUGAAAUGUCUGCAAGAUUGAAUAAAACUUGAAGAGGUUGUUUUCACUACAACACAUGCUACACUGUUGUGUGCUACAUUCUACACUGUUAUGCGCUACAUGCUACACUGUUGUGUGCUACAUGCUACACUGUUGCGUGCUACAUUCUACACUGUUAUGCGCUACACUGUUGUGUGCUACAUGCUACACUGGUGUGUGUUAUAUGCUGUCGCUACCGGACGGUAGUCCUUUAACGGAUGGUAGUCCCUCACAUUGCGCAUGCGUCACUUUGCGACACUGUCGACUGCUGUCGACUGCUGUCGACAGCGAAGCAGCGCAGGCGUCACAACGACAGAUCCAUUUUCAAUCAUGGAGGAAAAAAGCAACGAAAGCCAGUUUUAUCAAAACAUGACCAUUUAUUUAAAAACGAGGAAGAUGUUGUCACAGUGGACAAAACAUAUGAGGUGGAGGAUCAAAAAGUCUCUCCCCAGUUUCGUUUCAUAUGUUGACGUAGAGCCUUAUGCUGUUAGCCGUUUACAACAUAAUUAAAUAUAACAUUAAAUAUACCCACAUUAUGCGUUAAGACAAGCCCCAUAUGUUGACUACCAUCCGCUAAAGGACUACCGUCCGGUAGCGACAUAUGCUACACUGUUGUGUGCUACAUGCUACACUAUUGUUUGCUACAUGCUACACUAUUGUUUGCUACAUGCUACACUGGUGUGUGUUAUAUGCUACACUGGUGUGUGUUAUAUGCUACACUGUUGUGUUCUACAUGCUACACUGUUUGUUUUGUUACGGUGUGUCUGGUUGGGAGGUGCAAAGAUAGAUGUUUUGUUACAAUGUCAGUCUAACAUUCUAUUGUGUUUCCGUUGUGGUUCGUGCACUUCAAUAAGUGUUUUCAUUUCAAGUUGGCAUUGUACGAACUAAGCCUUAACUGUCAAUACGCGUGACCCGUAUAUAACUACAAAUAAGGACAAACGAACUAAACUCACAACACCGUUAAUCAGCCAAUUCAAGCGUAUUAUUUCAUGUUCGUGUUUUCUACAGCUAACCUGCAUACAUCUGGACCUUAACAAGGCAUCGUUGGUAUGUUUUCUCCUUUGUUGUGUAUUUUGUCAGAUACAAUAUAUGUUUAUUUAUCGUAACUGUAUGCAAUGAGUAUAUGUUUAUGCUAGAAUUGAUUUGUCUAUGUCUUUUGUAAAUUUCAGUUUUACACUUCCUAUCUACUAUCAUUAAACCUGUGGAC
This is a long non-coding RNA of Clupea harengus (Atlantic herring), 2001 nucleotides long. The record is from Ensembl. Lineage: Eukaryota; Metazoa; Chordata; Actinopteri; Clupeiformes; Clupeidae.